GACGAACGCUGGCGGCGUGCUUAACACAUGCAAGUCGAACGGAAAGGCCCUGCUUUUGUGGGGUGCUCGAGUGGCGAACGGGUGUGUAACACGUGAGUAACCUGCCCUUGACUUUGGGAUAACUUCAGGAAACUGGGGCUCAUACCGGGUAGGAGCUCCUGCUGCAUGGUGGGGGUUGGAAAGUUUCGGCGGUUGGGGAUGGACUCGCGGCUUAUCAGCUUGUUGGUGGGGUAGUGGCUUACCAAGGCUUUGACGGGUAACCGGCCUGAGAGGGUGACCGGCGACAUUGGGACUGAGAUAGGGCGCAGACGGCUACGUGAGGCAGCAGGCGGGAACAUUGCACAAUGGGCGGAAGCGUGAUGCAGCAACGCUGGGUGCGUGAUGAUGUCUUUCGGGUGGUAAACCGAUGUCGCCUGUGACGAAGCCUGAGUGACGGUAAUGGGUAAAGAAGCACCGGCUAACUACGUG
RNAcentral lists this ribosomal RNA (468 nucleotides) under uncultured bacterium. Its description in RNAcentral is "partial 16S ribosomal RNA". It matches the Rfam family "Bacterial small subunit ribosomal RNA", at positions 28 to 507 of the family's 1533-position model. The record is from RNAcentral.